Molecule: non-coding RNA, 244 nt
Filed under: Streptomyces sp. NRRL F-4489
Lineage: Bacteria; Bacillati; Actinomycetota; Actinomycetes; Kitasatosporales; Streptomycetaceae
Description: Streptomyces sRNA 4677
Rfam family: Streptomyces sRNA 4677
About the family: Located in the intergenic region between anti-sigma factor SCO4677 gene and a putative regulatory protein gene SCO4676. scr4677 expression requires the SCO4677 activity and scr4677 sRNA itself seem to affect the levels of the SCO4676-associated transcripts.
Source: Rfam by way of RNAcentral
AGUCCCGGUGCGGCGCGACGUAAAGGCUUUAAGGACCCGGGGAAGUACCUCACCCAACCCCACCGGCCUCCCGGGCGUCCCGCCACCCACACGGGUGACGUGCGCCAACUCAGCUGGAUUUCCGGGAGGUUGAUGGGCAUAUGCUCGCCGCGUCACGUGCACAAGUGCACACAUGCUUCGGCCCCCGGCCGGGACUGGCAUCCCGAACGAGGGCCUAACCAACAAGGAAGAAAGCACCUUCCCG